This 330-nucleotide RNase P RNA is filed under the name bovine gut metagenome. Its description in RNAcentral is "Bacterial RNase P class A". It matches the Rfam family "Bacterial RNase P class A". From Rfam's summary of the family: Ribonuclease P (RNase P) is a ubiquitous endoribonuclease, found in archaea, bacteria and eukarya as well as chloroplasts and mitochondria. Its best characterised activity is the generation of mature 5'-ends of tRNAs by cleaving the 5'-leader elements of precursor-tRNAs. Cellular RNase Ps are ribonucleoproteins. The record is from RNAcentral.
AGGUGACCAGGUGAUCGCAUGCGUUCGCGCAUGAGGAAAGUCCGAGCACCGCAGGGCAGGGUGCCGCCUAACGGGCGGUGGAGGCGACUCCAAGGAGAGUGCAACAGAAAUAUACCGCCCCCGCGCGAGCGGAGGUAAGGAUGGAAAGGCGAGGCAAGAGCUCACCCGCGGCCUGGCGACUCGUCCGCGCUGUAAACCCCACCCGGUGCAAGAUGGUAUGAGGACAUAUGCGGCGGCCCGCCGCGUCCCCGCAAUCGCUUGAGCCCACUGGCAACUUUGGGCCUGGAUAGAUGAUCACCCUCGACAGAACUCGGCUUAUGGUCACGCUCG